GACGAACGCCGGCGGCGUGCUCAACACAUGCAAGUCGAACGGAAAGGCCCUGCUUUUGUGGGGUGCUCGAGUGGCGAACGGGUGAGUAACACGUGAGUAACCUGCCCUUGACUUUGGGAUAAAUCCAGGAAACUGGGGCUAAUACCGGAUAGGAGCCACUGCUGCAUGGUGGGGGUUGGAAAGUUUCGGCGGUUGGGGAUGGACUCGCGGCCUAUCAGCUUGUUGGUGGGGUAGUGGCUUACCAAGGCUUUGACGGGUAGCCGGCCUGAGAGGGUGACCGGCCACAUUGGGACUGGGAUACCGCCCAGACUCCUACGGGAGGCAGCAGUGGGAGAUAUUGCGCAAUGGGCGGAAGCCUGAUGCAGCAACGCCGCGUGCGGGAUGACGGCCUUCUGGUUGUAGACCGCUUUCGCCUGUGACGAAGCGUGAGUGACGGUAAUGGGUAGAGGAGCACCGGCUAAGUACGUG
Molecule: ribosomal RNA, 468 nt
Filed under: uncultured bacterium
Lineage: Bacteria
Description: partial 16S ribosomal RNA
Rfam family: Bacterial small subunit ribosomal RNA
Source: RNAcentral